UUGAUGGUCCCUUUACUCCAUAGGGUCCAGGAGAGAGAGAAGUACCUGCACCAAGUGUCUAAAAAAUCAAAGAAGUGAAACCUGUGAAGAUGAAUCCGAAGUAGUUGUGGCCCUUUCUAAGUUUUUGUGUUGGAAUUUAUAGUUAAGGUUUUUGGCUCCCUGCCCCCUAGCUACCUCUCCCUGGUGCUAUACAUUUACGAGGCAUUUUCACAUGGUGAAGAUGAAACGAGUUCAAAUGCUUUAGUGGGGAUACGUUUUUUACUGCAGUAUUUUUAACUUAUGCUAUGUGUUCAGUUUUAGACAUACCUUGCGAUGGUCUGAUACUGCGUUAUUUAAAUCAUGCGUAACCUUCUCUUCAUGUAUGAUAUAUAUAUAUAUAUAUUUGGGUUAA
This is a long non-coding RNA of Ipomoea triloba (trilobed morning glory), 391 nucleotides long. RefSeq lists it as uncharacterized. The transcript is spliced from 2 exons. Lineage: Eukaryota; Viridiplantae; Streptophyta; Magnoliopsida; Solanales; Convolvulaceae. The record is from RefSeq and is a predicted model, not a curated record.